UACGUAGGGUGCGAGCGUUGUCCGGAAUUAUUGGGCGUAAAGGGCUCGUAGGCGGUUUGUCACGUCGGGAGUGAAAACUCGGGGCUCAACCCCGAGCCUGCUUCCGAUACGGGCAGACUAGAGGUAUGCAGGGGAGAAUGGAAUUCCUGGUGUAGCGGUGGAAUGCGCAGAUAUCAGGAGGAACACCGAUGGCGAAGGCAGAUCUCUGGGCCGUAACUGACGCUGAGGAGCGAAAGCGUGGGGAGCGAACAGG
RNAcentral lists this ribosomal RNA (253 nucleotides) under uncultured bacterium. RNAcentral's name for it is "partial 16S ribosomal RNA". It matches the Rfam family "Bacterial small subunit ribosomal RNA", at positions 524 to 776 of the family's 1533-position model. The record is from RNAcentral.